CGUUUGCGACGCCCAACACACAAAACAAGCGGUGAGUGCUUUGGGGUGGGGUGACUGCGUACCUUUUGUAUAAUGGGUCAGCGACUUAUAUUCUGUAGCAAGGUUAACCGUAUAGGGGAGCCGAAGGGAAACCGAGUCUUAACUGGGCGUUAAGUUGCAGGGUAUAGACCCGAAACCCGGUGAUCUAGCCAUGGGCAGGUUGAAGGUUGGGUAACACUAACUGGAGGACCGAACCGACUAAUGUUGAAAAAUUAGCGGAUGACCUGUGGCUGGGGGUGAAAGGCCAAUCAAACCGGGAGAUAGCUGGUUCUCCCCGAAAGCUAUUUAGGUAGCGCCUCGUGAACUCAUCUUCGGGGGUAGAGCACUGUUUCGGCUAGGGGGUCAUCCCGACUUACCAACCCGAUGCAAACUGCGAAUACCGAAGAAUGUUAUCACGGGAGACACACGGCGGGUGCUAACGUCCGUCGUGAAGAGGGAAACAACCCAGACCGCCAGCUAAGGUCCCAAAGUCACAGUUAAGUGGGAAACGAUGUGGGAAGGCUCAGACAGCCAGGAUGUUGGCUUAGAAGCAGCCAUCAUUUAAAGAAAGCGUAAUAGCUCACUGGUCGAGUCGGCCUGCGCGGAAGAUGUAACGGGGCUAAACUGUGCACCGAAGCUGCGGCAGCGACGCUUAUGCGUUGUUGGGUAGGGGAGCGUUCUGUAAGCCUGCGAAGGUGUCCUGUGAGGGAUGCUGGAGGUAUCAGAAGUGCGAAUGCUGACAUAAGUAACGAUAA
Molecule: ribosomal RNA, 773 nt
Filed under: Salmonella enterica subsp. enterica serovar Kentucky
Lineage: Bacteria; Pseudomonadati; Pseudomonadota; Gammaproteobacteria; Enterobacterales; Enterobacteriaceae
Description: partial 23S ribosomal RNA
Rfam family: Bacterial large subunit ribosomal RNA
Source: RNAcentral